AUUGAACGCUGGCGGUAGGCCUAACACAUGCAAGUCGAACGAGUGGCGGACUGGUGAGGAAUACAUCGGAAUCUGCUCUGUCGAGGCGGCUAACGUGGGGAAACUUACGCUAAUACCGCUUACGACUGUAUGAGCUGAUGUCGGAUUAGCUAGUUGGCGGGGUAAAGGCUCACCAAGGCGACGAUCCGCAGCUGGUCUGAGAGGAUGAUCAGCCACACUGGGACUGAGACACGGUCCAGACUCCUACGGGAGGCAGCAGUGGGGAAUAUUGGACAAUGGGCGCAAGCCUGAUCGAGCCAUACCGCGUGAGUGAAGAAGGCCUUCGGGUUGUAAAGCCCUUUUGUUGGGAAAGCGGUACCCAAAGAGUAAGCACCGGCUAACUACGUGCCAGCAGCCGCGGUAAUUC
Molecule: ribosomal RNA, 406 nt
Filed under: uncultured bacterium
Lineage: Bacteria
Description: partial 16S ribosomal RNA
Rfam family: Bacterial small subunit ribosomal RNA
Source: RNAcentral